UCCACCUCUCAAGCCUGGCUUGUUAUUGGGUUGCAUCAUCACAGAUGGGCCCGAAAGAUAAUGGCGGCGUCGUCCUCGACCCCCGGUGCAGCGAGCUUACAGCAUACACUGAGGCGGGCGUGGGCGAGCUGGCCUUGAUCGUCUGAGCGGGUUCGCCCCUCACACACUUCUUAA
RNAcentral lists this unclassified non-coding RNA (174 nucleotides) under uncultured Eurotiomycetes. RNAcentral describes it as "sequence contains ITS2". Lineage: Eukaryota; Fungi; Ascomycota; Eurotiomycetes. The record is from RNAcentral.